CCUACGGGAGGCAGCAGUGAGGAAUAUUGGUCAAUGGACGCAAGUCUGAACCAGCCAUGCCGCGUGCAGGAAGACGGCUCUAUGAGUUGUAAACUGCUUUUGUACGAGGGUAAACGCAGAUACGCGUAUCUGUCUGAAAGUAUCGUACGAAUAAGGAUCGGCUAACUCCGUGCCAGCAGCCGCGGUAAUACGGAGGAUUCAAGCGUUAUCCGGAUUUAUUGGGUUUAAAGGGUGCGUAGGCGGUCGGAUAAGUUAGAGGUGAAAUCCCGAGGCUCAACUUCGGAAUUGCCUCUGAUACUGUUCGGCGAGAGAGUAGUUGCGGUAGGCGGAAUGUAUGGUGUAGCGGUGAAAUGCUUAGAGAUCAUACAGAACACCGAUUGCGAAGGCAGCUUACCAAGCUACUUCUGACGUUGAGGCACGAAAGCGUGGGGAGCAAACAGGAGUAGAUACCCCAGUAGUC
Molecule: ribosomal RNA, 460 nt
Filed under: uncultured bacterium
Lineage: Bacteria
Description: partial 16S ribosomal RNA
Rfam family: Bacterial small subunit ribosomal RNA
Source: RNAcentral